RNAcentral lists this unclassified non-coding RNA (295 nucleotides) under Hevea brasiliensis (rubber tree). Lineage: Eukaryota; Viridiplantae; Streptophyta; Magnoliopsida; Malpighiales; Euphorbiaceae. The record is from RNAcentral.
UGCAACAAUCUACAACACUGUAUAUCUAGUGUUUUAGUUUUUGCAUUUGGGAGCAUAUUUGUUGUUCUUUAAGUUGGCAAGGAAUUCCAUUUCUGCUUUCAAAUUGCAUUUUUUUGAGUCUUGACGAAAAGGGAAGUCUGCAUCUCAUGAACUAUAAUGAGUGCUUAAAACAUUAUAGUUCAGUAGGGUUAGCUUGCUUUUCAAUGUUUUGCUCAGCAGGGUUAAGAGUCAUCUCUCAUCCAGGUGGCGAACUACUUGGUUGCAUAGUGUGGUUUGGUUCUAAUUAUCAUGCUUU